Molecule: non-coding RNA, 335 nt
Organism: Pelobates cultripes (western spadefoot toad)
Lineage: Eukaryota; Metazoa; Chordata; Amphibia; Anura; Pelobatidae
Source: the annotation of a GenBank genome assembly
CCUAUAGAGCAGGGUAGUCCAUAUCGGGGUAUUAUUUUUCGUAGCAGGAAUCUCACGACUUCUCCUGCUUUCUCUGUACGAGUAGGACAUGCUUCUACCCAGCCUGAAUAGGUGCACACCACUACCAGCAGGUAGCGAUGUCCACCCGAUUUAGGCAUCACUGUAUAGUCAAUUUGUAAAUCGGACAUGGGAAGUCCCCCCAUAAACUGGACUCCUGGUGGCUUUACUGGUUCUUGUCUUGCAUUAUUUUUAGCACACGUUACACAUCUACGUACAAUGGCCUGAGUCAAGUUGGACAAUCUUGGUAUGUAGAAAUGUUUUCUGAGAGAUUCUUC